RNAcentral lists this ribosomal RNA (261 nucleotides) under uncultured prokaryote. RNAcentral's name for it is "partial 16S ribosomal RNA". It matches the Rfam family "Bacterial small subunit ribosomal RNA", at positions 524 to 784 of the family's 1533-position model. The record is from RNAcentral.
UACGUAGGUGGCAAGCGUUAUCCGGAAUUACUGGGUGUAAAGGGCGCGCAGGCGGCCCUGCAAGUCGGAUGUGAAAGAUCAAGGCUCAACCUUGACAGGCCAUUCGAAACUGUGGGACUUGAGUGUCAGAGGGGAAAGUGGAAUUCCUAGUGGAGCGGUAAAAUGCUCAGAUAUUAGGAGGAACACCGGUGGCGAAGGCGGCUUCCUGGCACAAUACUGACGCUCAUGUGCGAAAGCUAGGGCAGCGAACGGGAUUAGAUA